UGGGGAAUUUUGGACAAUGGGCGAAAGCCUGAUCCAGCAAUGCCGCGUGUGUGAAGAAGGCCUUCGGGUUGUAAAGCACUUUUGUCCGGAAAGAAAUCCUCUGGGUUAAUACCUCGGGGGGAUGACGGUACCGGAAGAAUAAGCACCGGCUAACUACGUGCCAGCAGCCGCGGUAAUACGUAGGGUGCAAGCGUUAAUCGGAAUUACUGGGCGUAAAGCGUGCGCAGGCGGUUUUGUAAGACGGACGUGAAAUCCCCGGGCUUAACCUGGGAACUGCAUUCGUGACUGCAAGGCUAGAGUAUGGCAGAGGGGGGUUAGAAUUCCACGUGUAGCAGUGAAAUGCGUAGAGAUGUGGAGGAAUACCGAUGGCGAAGGCAGCCCCCUGGGCCAAUACUGACGCUCAUGCACGAAAGCGUGGGGAGCAAACAGGAUUAGAUACCCUGGUAGUCCACGCCCUAAACGAUGUCAACUAGUUGUUGGGGAUUCAUUUCCUUAGUAACGUAGCUAACGCGUGAAGUUGACCGCCUGGGGAGUACGGUCGCAAGAUUAAAACUCAAAGGAAUUGACGGGGUCAUAGCUGUUUCCU
RNAcentral lists this ribosomal RNA (586 nucleotides) under uncultured bacterium. RNAcentral's name for it is "partial 16S ribosomal RNA". It matches the Rfam family "Bacterial small subunit ribosomal RNA", at positions 355 to 1375 of the family's 1533-position model. The record is from RNAcentral.